RNAcentral lists this ribosomal RNA (429 nucleotides) under Pseudomonadota bacterium. RNAcentral's name for it is "Proteobacteria bacterium partial 16S ribosomal RNA". It matches the Rfam family "Bacterial small subunit ribosomal RNA", at positions 355 to 776 of the family's 1533-position model. The record is from RNAcentral. Lineage: Bacteria; Pseudomonadati; Pseudomonadota.
UGGGGAAUAUUGGACAAUGGGCGAAAGCCUGAUCCAGCCAUGCCGCGUGUGUGAAGAAGGUCUUCGGAUUGUAAAGCACUUUAAGUUGGGAGGAAGGGCAGUAAGCGAAUACCUUGCUGUUUUGACGUUACCGACAGAAUAAGCACCGGCUAACUCUGUGCCAGCAGCCGCGGUAAUACAGAGGGUGCAAGCGUUAAUCGGAAUUACUGGGCGUAAAGCGCGCGUAGGUGGUUCGUUAAGUUGAAUGUGAAAGCCCCGGGCUCAACCUGGGAACUGCAUCCAAAACUGGCGAGCUAGAGUAGGGCAGAGGGUGGUGGAAUUUCCUGUGUAGCGGUGAAAUGCGUAGAUAUAGGAAGGAACACCAGUGGCGAAGGCGACCACCUGGGCUCAUACUGACACUGAGGUACGAAAGCAUGGGGGGCAAACAGG